Molecule: unclassified non-coding RNA, 211 nt
Filed under: Hevea brasiliensis (rubber tree)
Lineage: Eukaryota; Viridiplantae; Streptophyta; Magnoliopsida; Malpighiales; Euphorbiaceae
Source: RNAcentral
GUUUGAAUUGAAAGACGAUUUUGUUAAUAAAAUAAAAUUUGAGGGACGUAAUUAUUUCAAAUUAAUGGUAAUUUAGACAGAGGGACCAUUCUAUUAACGAAAUGAAAUCUCGAGGAAUAAGUUUUUUCUCAUAAAAGAAAUAUAGAGAUUAAUAUAUGAUUUUUGAUAUACCUCAAUGACUAACUUGUAAUUUACCCAAAAGAGAACUGUC